AACGUGGCUCCGCCACUGCAUGGAUCCAUCAUAAACAAUCCAGGGGACCGUCUAAUUAUGAUCUUUCUCAGCUCGCUAAAAAAUCUGGGUCAAUGAUCUCUCGAGCCCUGCUUUGCAGCUGAUGUUAAGACACGGGGGAAGACUAUCGAUGGCAUUGAUAUUGGUAGAAAGCAAGGUGAUUGUUUUGGAUUAGGAAAGUUUAGAAGCCAUGGCAUGAAAAGAGACAUGGAACCAACACCAAUUUAUGUAGAAUCCAUCUUCUCGGUGAAAAUGUCCUGCAGUUUUUUAUGCUUUUGACAAGGCACCAUUAGCCGAAGGCCCAAAGCUUAAAAAAUCAACCGCAGUCUAAGCUGGACAGCUGUCAUAUCGCACCAUAAAAACGUAAUCCAGAAUGCUUUCCAAACAAUUUGCAUAUAAUUACGGAACUCGAUACCCAUAGCAUAUAAGACACUACAAAGUAUGGUUAAGAAAAAGACGAUACAAAGUUUAACAUGAUUGAAAUAUAACAGUAGUUGCUGAUAUCCAAGAGUUACGCUAGAUGAUGGAAGCAUUUCUUUUGAUAUAAAUCAUGUUUUCCUCCAAUAAAACCGACCUUUUGCUGCUUUCAUGGAAUAUCUCAUUUAUGC
This 626-nucleotide long non-coding RNA is filed under the name Gossypium barbadense (sea-island cotton). RNAcentral's name for it is "long non-coding RNA (GBAR_LNC003690)". The record is from RNAcentral. Lineage: Eukaryota; Viridiplantae; Streptophyta; Magnoliopsida; Malvales; Malvaceae.